RNAcentral lists this transfer RNA (86 nucleotides) under Patescibacteria group bacterium. RNAcentral's name for it is "tRNA-Ser". It matches the Rfam family "tRNA". Rfam says of the family: Transfer RNA (tRNA) molecules are approximately 80 nucleotides in length. The record is from RNAcentral.
GGAGAGGUGCGCCGAAUGGUAAGGCACUGGUUUGGAAAAUCAGCGUCCCUCGGGACUUGCAGGUUCGAAUCCUGUCCUCUCCGCCA